CCAGACUCCUACGGGAGGCAGCAGUGGGGAAUAUUGGACAGUGGGGGGAACCCUGAUCCAGCGACGCCGCGUGAGUGAAGAAGUAUUUCGGUAUGUAAAGCUCUAUCAGCAGGGAAGAAAGAAAUGACGGUACCUGACUAAGAAGCCCCGGCUAACUACGUGCCAGCAGCCGCGGUAAUACGUAGGGGGCAAGCGUUAUCCGGAUUUACUGGGUGUAAAGGGGGCGCAGACGGCGAUGCAAGCCAGGAGUGAAAGCCCGGGGCCCAACCCCGGGACUGCUCUUGGAACUGCGUGGCUGGAGUGCAGGAGGGGCAGGCGGAAUUCCUAGUGUAGCGGUGAAAUGCGUAGAUAUUAGGAGGAACACCGGCGGCGAAGGCGGCCUGCUGGACCGUAACUGACGUUGAGGCUCGAAAGCGUGGGGAGCAAACAGGAUUAGAUACCCUUGUAAU
This 449-nucleotide ribosomal RNA is filed under the name uncultured bacterium. Its description in RNAcentral is "partial 16S ribosomal RNA". It matches the Rfam family "Bacterial small subunit ribosomal RNA", at positions 331 to 794 of the family's 1533-position model. The record is from RNAcentral.